RNAcentral lists this long non-coding RNA (627 nucleotides) under Leptinotarsa decemlineata (Colorado potato beetle). RNAcentral describes it as "uncharacterized LOC111514287, transcript variant X2". The record is from RNAcentral. Lineage: Eukaryota; Metazoa; Arthropoda; Insecta; Coleoptera; Chrysomelidae.
CAUUUGCAAGAUGAAUCGUGUUUUUGUAGAUGUGUAAUUAGUUCUUAUUUGACGUAGCUUGAUGACAGAUUAUGAAUUAUUCGUGAAACAGUAUCGUUUGGAUUACAUGCAUCAUAGUUUUUUGACUUUCCAAUAACUGUUCUUUUUUACGUACAAAAAAUUCCUUAUUGUUGUCUUCAGUCUCGGGAUGUACAAUUUUUAAAUCUCGACGCAACUUCGCGGGUUCCAUGGAACUAUUAGAAAGCAGUUUACUACACAGCAUGCAGAAAGGCCACCAGAUAGUGAACAGUUUCCUUGGAGUAUCCCGAUUUCAUCAUCCAUUUUUGUACCUCAGGAAUUUUCGUAGAUACUCCCUUGGAGUAACAAGAUAUUGCUUAGUGUGAAACGUAACAUCCGGCACCAGCCAUUUGCAAUUGUUGCAAAAGUAGAGGGUUUGAGAGUAAGCUGUUCGAGCCUCCGCAUAACUUUGCACACAUUCUAGCCUUCAUUUUACUCAACAAUCCCAGUGUAGGAGACAGUGAAAUGGACACUGGUGCAGCAGGUGCACAAGGGUUGGGUAAACCAGGGAUACAAGGUGGAGGGUAUGCAGGUGGUGCAGGUGGUGGCAACAAAUUAGCAAGUUUUGCA